GUGUCAGCCGCCGCGGUAAUACAGAGACUGCAAGCGUUGUUCGGAUUCAUUGGGCGUAAAGGGUCCGUAGGCGGUCGGUUAAGUCGGAUGUGAAAUCUCACAGCCUAACUGUGAGCGGUCAUUCGAAACUAAUCGGCUAGAGGGCUGGAGAGGAGACUGGAAUUGUCGGUGUAGCGGUGAAAUGCGUAGAGAUCGACAAGAACACCGGUGGCGAAGGCGGGUCUCUGGACAGUUCCUGACGCUGAGGGACGAAAGCUAGGGGAGCAAACGGGAUUAGAUACCCCCGUAGUCC
This 292-nucleotide ribosomal RNA is filed under the name uncultured bacterium. RNAcentral describes it as "partial 16S ribosomal RNA". It matches the Rfam family "Bacterial small subunit ribosomal RNA", at positions 505 to 796 of the family's 1533-position model. The record is from RNAcentral.